Molecule: ribosomal RNA, 490 nt
Filed under: uncultured bacterium
Lineage: Bacteria
Description: partial 16S ribosomal RNA
Rfam family: Bacterial small subunit ribosomal RNA
Source: RNAcentral
AUUGAACGCUGGCGGCAUGCCUUACACAUGCAAGUCGAACGGCAGCAUGAUCUAGCUUGCUCGAUUGAUGGCGAGUGGCGAACGGGUGAGUAAUACAUCGGAACGUGCCCUGUAGUGGGGGAUAACUAGUCGAAAGAUCAGCUGAUACCGCAUACGACCUGAGGGUGAAAGUGGGGGACCGCAAGGCCUCAUGCUAUAGGAGCGGCCGAUGUCUGAUUAGCUAGUUGGUGAGGUAAAGGCUCACCAAGGCGACGAUCAGUAGCUGGUCUGAGAGGACGAUCAGCCACACUGGAACUGAGACACGGCCCAGACUCCUACGGGAGGCAGCAGUGGGGAAUUUUGGACAAUGGGCGAAAGCCUGAUCCAGCAAUGCCGCGUGUGUGAAGAAGGCCUUCGGGUUGUAAAGCACUUUUGUCCGGAAAGAAAUGGCUCUGGUUAAUACCUGGGGUCGAUGACGGUACCGGAAGAAUAAGGACCGGCUAACUACGUG